RNAcentral lists this ribosomal RNA (490 nucleotides) under uncultured bacterium. Its description in RNAcentral is "partial 16S ribosomal RNA". It matches the Rfam family "Bacterial small subunit ribosomal RNA", at positions 30 to 507 of the family's 1533-position model. The record is from RNAcentral.
AUUGAACGCUGGCGGCAGGCCUAACACAUGCAAGUCGAACGGUAACAGGAAACAGCUUGCUGUUUCGCUGACGAGUGGCGGACGGGUGAGUAAUGUCUGGGAAACUGCCUGAUGGAGGGGGAUAACUACUGGAAACGGUAGCUAAUACCGCAUAACGUCGCAAGACCAAAGAGGGGGACCCUCGGGCCUCUUGCCAUCGGAUGUGCCCAGAUGGGAUUAGCUUGUUGGUGGGGUAACGGCUCACCAAGGCGACGAUCCCUAGCUGGUCUGAGAGGAUGACCAGCCACACUGGAACUGAGACACGGUCAAGACUCCUACGGGAGGCAGCAGUGGGGAAUAUUGCACAAUGGGCGCAAGCCUGAUGCAGCCAUGCCGAGUGUAUGAAGAAGGCCUUCGGGUUGUAAAGUACUUUCAGCGGGGAGGAAGGGAGUAAAGUUAAUACCUUUGCUCAUUGACGUUACCCGCAGAAGAAGCACCGGCUAACUCCGUG